RNAcentral lists this ribosomal RNA (253 nucleotides) under uncultured bacterium. RNAcentral describes it as "partial 16S ribosomal RNA". It matches the Rfam family "Bacterial small subunit ribosomal RNA", at positions 524 to 776 of the family's 1533-position model. The record is from RNAcentral.
UACGGAGGGUGCGAGCGUUGUUCGGAUUUAUUGGGCGUAAAGCGCGUGUAGGCGGUUUUAUAAGUCUGAUGUGAAAGCCCCGGGCUCAACCUGGGAAGUGCAUUGGAUACUGUAAGACUUGAGUACGGGAGGGGGCAGUGGAAUUCCCAGUGUAGGAGUGAAAUCCGUAGAUAUUGGGAGGAACACCGGUGGCGAAGGCGGCUGCCUGGACCGAUACUGACGCUGAGACGCGAAAGCGUGGGUAGCAAACAGG